Molecule: ribosomal RNA, 497 nt
Filed under: uncultured bacterium
Lineage: Bacteria
Description: partial 16S ribosomal RNA
Rfam family: Bacterial small subunit ribosomal RNA
Source: RNAcentral
GAUGAACGCUGGCGGCGUGCCUAAUACAUGCAAGUCGAGCGAACAGACGAGGAGCUUGCUCCUCUUACGUUAGCAGCGGACGGGUGAGUAACACGUGGAUAACCUACCUAUAAGACUGGGAUAACUUCGGGAAACCGGAGCUAAUACCGGAUAAUAUAUUUAACCGCAUGGUUCAAUAGUGAAAGACGGUUUUGCUUUCACUUAUAAUUGGAUCCGCGCCUCUUUAGCUAGUUGUUAAGGUAACGCCUUCCCAAGGCAACGAUCCGUAGCCGACCUGAGAGGUGGACCGCCAAAACUGGAACUGGGAAACGGUCCAGACUCCUACGGGAGGCAGCAGUAGGGAAUCUUCCGCAAUGGGCGAAAGCCUGACGGAGCAACGCCGCGUGAGUGAUGAAGGUCUUCGGAUCGUAAAACUCUGUUAUUAGGGAAGAACAAAUGUGUAAGUAACUAUGCACGUCUUGACGGUACCUAAUCAGAAAGCCACGGCUAACUACGUG